CCUACGGGGGGCAGCAGUGGGGAAUAUUGCACAAUGAGGGAAACCCUGAUGCAGCGACGCCGCGUGAGUGAAGAAGUAUCUCGGUACGUAAAGCUCUAUCAGCAGGGAAGAAAAUGACGGUACCUGACUAAGAAGUCCCGGCUAACUACGUGCCAGCAGCCGCGGUAAUACGUAGGGGGCAAGCGUUAUCCGGAUUUACUGGGUGUAAAGGGAGCGUAGACGGCAGGACAAGUCUGGAGUGAAAUCCCGGGGCUUAACCCCGGAACUGCUGUGGAAACUGUGCGGCUGGAGUGCAGGAGGGGUAAGCGGAAUUCCUGGUGUAGCGGUGAAAUGCGUAGAUAUUAGGAGGAACACCGGUGGCGAAGGCGGCUUACUGGACUGUAACUGACGUUGAGGCUCGAAAGCGUGGGGAGCAAACAGGAUUAGAUACCCCUGUAGU
This 439-nucleotide ribosomal RNA is filed under the name uncultured bacterium. RNAcentral describes it as "partial 16S ribosomal RNA". It matches the Rfam family "Bacterial small subunit ribosomal RNA", at positions 338 to 794 of the family's 1533-position model. The record is from RNAcentral.